AUACGAAGGGGGCUAGCGUUGUUCGGAUUUACUGGGCGUAAAGCGCACGUAGGCGGAUUGAUAAGUUAGGGGUGAAAUCCCGAGGCUCAACCUCGGAACUGCCUCUAAUACUGUCAAUCUCGAGACCGUAAGAGGUGAGUGGAACUCCUAGUGUAGAGGUGGAAUUCGUAGAUAUUAGGAAGAACACCAGUGGCGAAGGCGGCUCACUGGUCCGGUACUGACGCUGAGGUGCGAAAGCGUGGGGAGCGAACAGAAUUAGAAACCCUUGUAGUCC
Molecule: ribosomal RNA, 274 nt
Filed under: uncultured bacterium
Lineage: Bacteria
Description: partial 16S ribosomal RNA
Rfam family: Bacterial small subunit ribosomal RNA
Source: RNAcentral